RNAcentral lists this ribosomal RNA (253 nucleotides) under uncultured bacterium. RNAcentral describes it as "partial 16S ribosomal RNA". It matches the Rfam family "Bacterial small subunit ribosomal RNA", at positions 524 to 776 of the family's 1533-position model. The record is from RNAcentral.
GACAGAGGUCCCGAGCGUUAGGCGGAAUCACUGGGCUUAAAGCGUGUGUAGGCGGAUCUGUAAGUACCUUGUGAAAUCCCACGGCUUAACCGUGGAACUGCUCGGUAUACUGCGGGUCUUGAGCCACCUAGGGGCAACCGGAACAAGUGGUGGAGCGGUGAAAUGCGUAGAUAUCACUUGGAACGCCAAUGGAGAAAUCAGGUUGCUGGGGGUGUGCUGACGCUGAGACACGAAAGCCAGGGGAGCGAACGGG